Molecule: ribosomal RNA, 433 nt
Filed under: uncultured bacterium
Lineage: Bacteria
Description: partial 16S ribosomal RNA
Rfam family: Bacterial small subunit ribosomal RNA
Source: RNAcentral
AACGAACGCUGGCGGCAUGCCUAACACAUGCAAGUCGAACGAGACCUUCGGGUCUAGUGGCGCACGGGUGCGUAACGCGUGGGAACCUGCCCUUAGGUUCGGAAUAACUCAGAGAAAUUUGAGCUAAUACCGGAUAAUGUCUUCGGACCAAAGAUUUGUCGCCUUUGGAUGGGCCCGCGUAGGAUUAGCUUGUUGGUGGGGUAAUGGCCUACCAAGGCGACGAUCCUUAGCUGGUCUGAGAGGAUGAGCAGCCACACUGGGACUGAGACACGGCCCAGACUCCUACGGGAGGCAGCAGUGGGGAAUAUUGGACAAUGGGCGAAAGCCUGAUCCAGCAAUGCCGCGUGAGUGAUGAAGGCCUUAGGGUUGUAAAGCUCUUUUACCAGGUAUGAUAAUGACAGUACCUGGAGAAUAAGCUCCGGCUAACUCCGUG